GGCACCAUCUUUUGCCUUGCCAAGAUCACAACUGCAGUCUUUGGUCCUCAUCUUCUGCUUUAAGAUCAAUCAUUGAGAACAACCAUAGUGCAAUUGUUGGAGGUGGUAUUGCGGAGCGACUAUUUGGCCUUACUCAAGGAGUAACUUAAAGAGGUGAGCAUAGUUGUAAUGGGAGGAGAGUGGGAACUCUAGCGAUCCUACACCUCUUCUUCUUGGCUUUCUUGAUUACCGUGUGCUGCGGAAGGGAAAGAGUUAUUUUGCCUUAACU
RNAcentral lists this long non-coding RNA (268 nucleotides) under Elaeis guineensis (African oil palm). RNAcentral's name for it is "long non-coding RNA (EGUI_LNC000409)". Lineage: Eukaryota; Viridiplantae; Streptophyta; Magnoliopsida; Arecales; Arecaceae. The record is from RNAcentral.